UACAGAGGGGGCAAGCGUUGUUCGGAAUUACUGGGCGUAAAGGGCGCGUAGGCGGCCUGUUAAGUCGAACGUGAAAUCCCCGGGCUCAACCCGGGAACUGCGUCCGAUACUGGCAGGCUUGAAUUCGGGAGAGGGAUGUGGAAUUCCAGGUGUAGCGGUGAAAUGCGUAGAUAUCAGGAGGAACACCGAUGGCGAAGGCAGCUCACUGGGACGGUACUGACGCUGAGGCGCGAAAGCGUGGGGAGCAAACAGG
Molecule: ribosomal RNA, 253 nt
Filed under: uncultured bacterium
Lineage: Bacteria
Description: partial 16S ribosomal RNA
Rfam family: Bacterial small subunit ribosomal RNA
Source: RNAcentral